Molecule: long non-coding RNA, 665 nt
Organism: Olea europaea var. sylvestris
Lineage: Eukaryota; Viridiplantae; Streptophyta; Magnoliopsida; Lamiales; Oleaceae
Exons: 3
Source: RefSeq, a predicted model, not a curated record
CCAGAAGAACGAUAUCGAACGCAUACAAGUGGUUCCAUAAUAUCACCACUCAGGGGGCUUAGCUCGCCGAAAAUCACAUCGACAUGGCCAUGGACUUGUUGUGCGAUCGAGUUGAGAGAUAUCCACAAUCAUUCUACAAGCCUGGCCGAAUAAUACUGAACACCGAGUUCUUCCGUGCCGUUACCAUUGAGUAUCAGUCGCUCAAGCUUAUGGGUAACGAGUACGUGCUGCCCGCAGAUAUGCUCGAGUGGGUCAUCGGGUUGUCACCGACUGUUGGGGAAAAGCCGUGGAGGGCUGUACGCAUACGUACAUUCCAGUGAUCAUCAAUCGUCACUGCAAUGCACUAAAGAUUGUGUUCCCUGAGUCGAAAAUAUAUGUAUAUGACCCCGAUCAUUCAUGUCUGACGCAGGGGCAAAUCGAGCAGGACUUAGAGCCGGUGACUGUGAUCGUUCCUAUGAUGGCUAGACGGGCGAGCUUGACUAUACAGGACAGACUAGCCAUCAUUCGGGAUAAGACGACGGCUAGGCAGUCUAUAUCGGUCGACUAUGACAUUUUCGUAAUCAAGUACAUAGAAUUUUUGAGUAUAGCACAUAAGGUUGAUGGAUUCAACCAGUUAUGGAUACAGAAUUGGCGGAAUAAGUUAGCGUGCGACUUAUUCGAAUUUA